UGACCUACGGGACGCAGCAGUGGGGAAUAUUGCACAAUGGGGGAAACCCUGAUGCAGCGACGCCGCGUGAGUGAAGAAGUAUUUCGGUAUGUAAAGCUCUAUCAGCAGGGAAGAUAAUGACGGUACCUGACUAAGAAGCCCCGGCUAAAUACGUGCCAGCAGCCGCGGUAAUACGUAUGGGGCAAGCGUUAUCCGGAUUUACUGGGUGUAAAGGGAGCGUAGGCGGCAGGGCAAGCCUGAUGUGAAAGCCCGGGGCUCAACCCCGGGACUGCAUUGGGAACUGCCCCGCUCGAGUGCCGGAGGGG
Molecule: ribosomal RNA, 305 nt
Filed under: uncultured bacterium
Lineage: Bacteria
Description: bacterial SSU rRNA
Rfam family: Bacterial small subunit ribosomal RNA
Source: RNAcentral